This 628-nucleotide ribosomal RNA is filed under the name uncultured fungus. Its description in RNAcentral is "eukaryotic LSU rRNA". The stretch from base 216 to 369 matches the Rfam family "5.8S ribosomal RNA". The record is from RNAcentral. Lineage: Eukaryota; Fungi.
AUCGGAAGUAAAAGUCGUAACAAGGUUUCCGUAGGUGAACCUGCGGAAGGAUCAUUCAUAAUAAGUGUUUUACUGCACUUUUUAAAAAUCAGUAUUCACCUUGUGUGCAACGUUUGGUGACGAGUUCGUGUUUUUACGCGUUCUUGGCAGCAUAAUACCAACCCUUUAUUGAAAUUUUUUGUCUGAAGAUUUUUUGAAUACAUAAUUAGAAAUACAACUUUUAACAACGGAUCUCUUGGCUCUCGCAUCGAUGAAGAACGCAGCGAAAUGCGAUACGUAAUAUGAAUUGCAGAAUUCAGUGAAUCAUAGAAUCUUUGAACGCACAUUGCACUGUAUGGUAUUCCGGAGAGUAUGCUUGUUUGAGUAUCUGUAAACAUCUCAAAUCUCUCGACUCUCGAGUCUGAGAGAAUUGGACUUGAGCAAUCCCAACUCCUUCGUCAGAAAGAGGAGGGUUGCUUGAAAUGCAGGUGCAGCUGGGCAUUGUUCUCAGGUAAAAGCAUAUUUAUUUAGUCCCGUCAAACGGAUUAUUAUUUGUGCUUCAGUUUACAUAAAGGUUGAAUGACUACCGAGGCUGAUUGCAGGUAAACUCGUUCCGUCAAAAAGAACUUGGAACUCGAUCUCAAAUCAG